GAUGAACGCUGGCGGCGUGCCUAAUACAUGCAAGUCGAGCGAACAGACGAGGAGCUUGCUCCUCUGACGUUAGCGGCGGACGGGUGAGUAACACGUGGAUGACCUACCUAUAAGACUGGGAUAACUUCGGGAAACCGGAGCUAAUACCGGAUAAUAUAUUGAGCCGCAUGGUUCAAUAGUGAAAGACGGUUUUGCUGUCACUUAUAGAUGGAUCCGCGCCGCAUUAGCUAGUUGGUAAGGUAACGGCUUACCAAGGCGACGAUGCGUAGCCGACCUGAGAGGGUGAUCGGCCACACUGGAACUGAGACACGGUCCAGACUCCUACGGGAGGCAGCAGUAGGGAAUCUUCCGCAAUGGGCGAAAGCCUGACGGAGCAACGCCGCGUGAGUGAUGAAGGUCUUCGGAUCGUAAAACUCUGUUAUUAGGGAAGAACAAAUGUGUAAGUAACUAUGCACGUCUUGACGGUACCUAAUCAGAAAGCCACGGCUAACUACGUG
RNAcentral lists this ribosomal RNA (497 nucleotides) under uncultured bacterium. RNAcentral describes it as "partial 16S ribosomal RNA". It matches the Rfam family "Bacterial small subunit ribosomal RNA", at positions 28 to 507 of the family's 1533-position model. The record is from RNAcentral.